UUUAAACACUGGCACAAUUGGUGGUUUGUAAUCCGCUUAUUUAAUUCUAAUUAUUCCCCUUGAAAGACACUUUCGUUUGAGCAGUUCACAGACACAGGUAGCGCAACAAGUUUCGCAGUGUUCAUUUUCAAUGGCUAUUAAACGCUGUAAAUCAAAAAGAUAUCGUGUAAUAAUGGAUGUCUUCAACCGAAGAAGGUUCGGAAAUGAUAUUUCCACAUGCUUAAAAUAGGUAAGUGAAAGAUAUAUGUGUAUUUUGGCUUUGUGAUUAAUUUUCGCGACUCGCAAGUUUGACCCGGAAGUAAACUGUACGAUAGCAACUGAAUUUUUACAUGAAAUGGUGGAAGAUUUAAAUUUGACUUUAAAAUAUCAUGUAUCAAUUUAUUAACACAAACACUAUUCCAUGUGAAAUUUCACAAGAACAGGACACUUCGUUUUUAAAUUUAAAUGAUUUAUCGAAUGUAAAUGAACUUUAUUUUAAAACUUCUCACCCCGCUACUCAAGAGUUGUUUGAUGUGGUAGAUAAGAUGAUUAUGAAAAUGACCUUGAGUUGAACCAUGAUGAGUCUGAUAUAGAUAUUGAUGUAGAAGCUGUAAAAAAACAACAUCAGAUACUGCGUUAAUUGAAAAGUCUGAACUUCAUGUGGCAGAAGCUGAUAAACAAAACAAAUUUAAGGUUGACUUUUUAAAAUGUUUAAGCACAAAUUUAAUUAAUAAUUAUUAUUAUAAAAAAAAGUGUUAUGUAGAUAAAUAACCAAUAAUUUGAUAUUCUACAGGGUGGGAAGUUAUUUUUCAAGACACCGAGGAAGUGUGAGGUGUAUGGAAUCAGCUGCGAAGGAUCUGGAAAGCAGGUGCUUUACCUCGCAGACGAAGGCCAGUCACAUGGUAAAGGUGCAAAUGCUGUGAUCAGCCAGGUUCACCUCUACCUCAACACAUACGGUCUUGGCGAACAGCAUGCUCACUUUCAGUGUGACAACUGUUGCAGCCAAAAUAAAAACAACAUAGUCAUCUGGUACCUUCUGUGGAGAGUUCUUGUAGGUUUACACAAAAUCAUCACACUAAGCUUUAUGUUGAUAAGACAUACAAAGUUUACACCAGAUUGGCACUUUGGCAUUUGGAAGUCAAAGUGGAGAAACUUCAAUGCAGAAAUGUUGUCUGAUGUCGCUGCGUCUGUGGGGUUAUCGUCAAGGACGGGCCACAACAUCCCCCAGCUUGUGGGGGACUUUUCCAAUCCUGUUGUUAUCUAAGACAGGAAGGAUUACCUUACGACAUUGUUUCACCACAUAAAGAAUGUCACCAAAUUUCAUCAAUUUCCAUGUGUCAGCGGAGCAUCCCAGUGUUGUGGAAUGCAGGGAAUUUAGUGACUCACCAGUAGUCAGAAUCACUCUCAGGAAGGUCUCGAAAGUGAAUGUUAAUGUGAGCUGCGACAAACUGCCAUAAGAAAUGUUUGCGAAAGGGCUUGAUCUGGACCAUCAGUGGUAUUUAUUUGAAAACAUUCGUGAAUUCUGUCGCAUAGAUGAACCAAAAACUUGACAUGUCCGAAACGCGCUACUGGUGAGCAACAAAAAACAGACUGUGCCCCCCAAAAAAGAAGAUGCAUUAAGAUGUGCAUCUGAUCUUCUCUGAUGGUGCCACAACAAUUACAUACAUCAUGUAUCAGUGUUUAUUUUGGCCAUAUAUUUUGGGUGAUAUAUUUUCCCCCAAACAAUGCAAAAAAUCCUCUAUUCCUAGGAAAGCUAAAACAUGUUUACGAUUGCUAAAUGUGUCAGUUGAUACAGGUUUUGAAAUGUUCAAUGCAAACGUUUGUUGUUCUAAUUGCACAAGCUUGUUUUCAAGUUUUUUAUAUCUCAUAUUUACUAAACAAAAAUCCUUUUUUCCAUGUAACCAUUGAAAUGUUUUCACCUUAUGGACACAGACUGCCUUUCCGAAAACUGGACAAAAAAUCAGUGUGAAUAUUGUAUUUAUUUAUGUUUUACAAUGAAAAUCCUAUAUUUUUGUUUGUUUGCUACAUUGUUUCCAUAGUAACAAAAACAAACAAUUUUUAUGUUUAAGUUAUUGUUUAUUUUGUCUAUUUUUCUCUAUUAGAAAUAAUGAUAAAUAAUGAUUAUUUCAUUUACUGAAACAUUUAGUAUCCAAGUGUACUUUCAACCAACACUUUUCAAUGCUGUGUUUUUCCAUUCUGUUGUGUUUGAGGUUACAUUAUACUUAAAUACACAUGUAACUAAAUAAAAAAAGGAAAUUGUCCAUGGAACACACAAAUUAUUGAUUGUUAUUGUUUAACUAGUUACAAAACAGUGAAAUUAAUGUUGUGUUUUCCGUUAAACAAACACUUGAUUGAAAAUACAAUUCAUAGAUUUAUAAAAGGCGUGAUUGUGUGCUCUGGUGAUUAUUAACAUAUAGAUCGGUUACCAUAGCAACACAAAUGGUACAUUUUAAAUGUCCAUAAUGCUGUUGUCAGUUUAUUGCACUAUAAUCAUGUAUUUGACUAAAGGAAAGAUAAUUGUUUUAAUAAAACAAUGUGCUUGUUG
Dreissena polymorpha is the source of this 2524-nucleotide long non-coding RNA. RefSeq lists it as uncharacterized. Lineage: Eukaryota; Metazoa; Mollusca; Bivalvia; Myida; Dreissenidae. The record is from RefSeq and is a predicted model, not a curated record. The transcript is spliced from 4 exons.